UGACGACAAGGAAAGCAGUGAACCAGGCUGCAUGGGAACAGAUGACACCUAUGAAGAGGAAUGGCUCGACCCAAACGACGUUUCCUUCCACCCAGAGCAGAGCAGUGAAGGGGACCGUUCAGUAAUCUUCAUGGAAGAACCUGCCACUGGGACUGCGGAUGAUACAAAAUAUAUUGUAUUUGAAUCGUGUCUCAGGCAAC
Ornithodoros turicata is the source of this 200-nucleotide long non-coding RNA. RefSeq lists it as uncharacterized. The record is from RefSeq and is a predicted model, not a curated record. The transcript is spliced from 3 exons. NCBI's taxonomy places the organism in Eukaryota, Metazoa, Arthropoda, Arachnida, Ixodida, Argasidae.